AAAAAAGCCUUUACAGAUAUAGAUUAGGCUGGAGCUCUUGAUGAUAGGUCUACAUCAAGUUAUUGCAUCUUUGUUAGUGGUAACCUAGUUACUUGGAGAAGCAAGAAACAAAAUAUGACAACUAGAUCAAGAUCAGCACAAAGCAUCUGUGAGCUAUUGUGGUUGCAGAAAUUGAUGGAAGAGCUGACAUUGUCAGAGACCAAUAGUUUAGUUUUAUUUUAUAAUAACAAAGCUGCUAUUAAUAUUGUCUAUAAUCUAGUUCAAUGUAAUAGGAUCAAGCACAUAGAGAUUGGUCCACUUCAUAAGGGAGAAGAUUGUAGAUGGUUCAUUGACUGUGAUUUAUGCAACUUCAAAGGAGUAGUUGGCUGAUAUAUUUACAAAAGGUCUAAGCAUCAAAAUAUUCCACACUUUAGUUUGCAAGUUAGGCAUAUGUAAUAUCCAUGAACCAACUUGAGGGGGAGUG
This 463-nucleotide unclassified non-coding RNA is filed under the name Hevea brasiliensis (rubber tree). The record is from RNAcentral. Lineage: Eukaryota; Viridiplantae; Streptophyta; Magnoliopsida; Malpighiales; Euphorbiaceae.